UCUAGUAAAUGCGUAAAUUUGGUAAGUUCAACCCUUUUUUCUUCAUAACAGAAAAUUAUAUCGCAUUCAACAUCACUAGUGUAAGUUUUUCGCUUUUUUUAUAUACGAAUCUUUAUUUUUUCAGUCUUCCUAUCUUUUCAAGAAACCAAUCCGUUCAAAAUCACACUGUAAAAUGUAUUUCUUAACUAUCAGUGUGUGCAAAUGUCUAUGUGCUAUAGUGGAACAAUGUUGAAUAGUCGCGAACUUGUGUUUAUGAAGCCAGUAGACCUUUAAUAACAAUUCAGACUUUCUCUAUCUCAAAUAUUUUUUUUAGUCAACUAAAAUUGCGUAUUAGGAGCGCCACUACUAUCAUGAACUUCAGUCCAAAUAUUAAACUAAACUUACAACAU
Non-coding RNA from Schizosaccharomyces pombe (fission yeast), 389 nucleotides. NCBI's taxonomy places the organism in Eukaryota, Fungi, Ascomycota, Schizosaccharomycetes, Schizosaccharomycetales, Schizosaccharomycetaceae. The record is from the annotation of a GenBank genome assembly.